RNAcentral lists this ribosomal RNA (380 nucleotides) under uncultured eukaryote. RNAcentral's name for it is "partial 18S ribosomal RNA". It matches the Rfam family "Eukaryotic small subunit ribosomal RNA", at positions 592 to 976 of the family's 1831-position model. The record is from RNAcentral.
CAAUAGCGUAUAUUAAAGUUGUUGCAGUUAAAAAGCUCGUAGUUGGAUUUGUGGCGUACGGUGUGUUCCGGGCACUUGUUGUCUGAGUAACCUGCUGUUGCCAUCCUUGGGUGGAACCUGUGUGGCAUUAAGUUGUCGUGCAGGGGAUGCCCAUCAUUUACUGUGAAAAAAUUAGAGUGUUCAAAGCAGGCUUAUGCCGUUGAAUAUAUUAGCAUGGAAUAAUGAGAUAGGACUUUUUUGCUAUUUUGUUGGUUUGCGCAAAGAGGUAAUGAUUAAUAGGGACAGUUGGGGGUAUUCGUAUUCCAUUGUCAGAGGUGAAAUUCUUGGAUUUUUGGAAGACGAACUACUGCGAAAGCAUUUACCAAGGAUGUUUUCAUUAA